Molecule: non-coding RNA, 72 nt
Organism: Ictidomys tridecemlineatus (thirteen-lined ground squirrel)
Lineage: Eukaryota; Metazoa; Chordata; Mammalia; Rodentia; Sciuridae
Source: Rfam
GGGGUUGUGGCUCAGAGGUAGAGCGCCUGUCUAGCACACAUGAGGCACUGGGUUCGAUCCCUGGCAGCACGU